GUUCAGAGGGAGGAGGGAGAAGUACCACACUGUGCUGGUGUCCCCGGCCCUCACUGACAACAUCAGCGCCAACGUUCCAGAGGUAGCAGACAGAUGUGUGUCGUCUCCGUCCUCCCCCUCCAGGAUGCGCAGAAUGGAACGCUCCAGCCUGUCAUGUGACCACAAGUGGCUAAGCUGAGUGUGCCCCACAGUUCCCCUCCAGCCUGACGUCGGUGCCCAGACGACAGAACGCCAUGGCACAGCGGUGGGAGGCGUCUCUGCUGGCCAAUCAGAAGAAAGACUGAGCUGCGGGGAGCCAAUCAGAAGAAAGGGGGACUAUACUUACUCCGCCCACUUUUCCUCAUGUAACCGCUCCUCUCUGUACCAGCAAACAUUGAAGCAAUGGUCAAUGUUAGUGUUGUAUAGACAGUACAACAGGCGGAACAGUGGACCAGGGUAGAGCGUUUUGAUAGGUUUUAUUUGAAGAUGCCUGUAAAACAAACUGAAAACAUCACAAGGCGACAUCCUGUAGCAUUUAGGCUUUAGUUCAUGUAGCACUAAUGGUGCUUUUGAUUAUCGAUCCGUCACCCACUCGGAUCUCAGAUAUGAUGUCACGGCCACACUUCGAGCCUUUAAUAAUGUUUUGUGCACAGCUGGACAUAGCUAAUGCCGUAGCCGUCCCUUUCCGGUUUCCCGAGUUUGACUUGAAGGAAAAUAUGGACGCCAACUGGAAAGCUGUUAUUGUUGUUACUUAUCUUCUGUUAGCAUAGCCUGAUUUAUCAACUGGUUUCACUUCGUUGAAACCCUCUGACCUCGCAGCAUUAGAAUUCGUUCGCUCAACGGUAGGCGAGUACUUUUUUAAAUUUAACCAAUUGCUGCUGUUUGGUCGUGAUGUAUGUAAUGCGCCACUAACGGGGAUAACUGGUAUAUUAAGGUUUUCCCAAAUCCCAUAGAAAAAAGGGCAAUAACGUCUUUCUCCUUGAUAAACUUCACCAAACAUUCUCUUUGUUCCGGCUUUAAAUCCUCGAUCUCGGGAAUCGUUGCCAACACAGAAUAUAUGGCUCUUCGCUGAUUGGCUGGUGCCCGAACUUGCACUUCCGGGGUUUUUGCAAACUGUCUAGUGUAUUCUGAUUCCUGGCCUAGUUGCUGGAGAGAAAUGAAAUUGAGACACUAGGUGGCACCAGCCUGGCUAUUGUUAGCAGCUGUUUAAAACAAGUUUUUGUUAAAUAUUGGCCUCACCACAACACGACUAAGAAAAACCAAAGGCAGA
This is a long non-coding RNA of Boleophthalmus pectinirostris (great blue-spotted mudskipper), 1249 nucleotides long. RefSeq lists it as uncharacterized. The record is from RefSeq and is a predicted model, not a curated record. The transcript is spliced from 3 exons. NCBI's taxonomy places the organism in Eukaryota, Metazoa, Chordata, Actinopteri, Gobiiformes, Gobiidae.